This is a long non-coding RNA of Sinocyclocheilus grahami, 171 nucleotides long. RefSeq lists it as uncharacterized. NCBI's taxonomy places the organism in Eukaryota, Metazoa, Chordata, Actinopteri, Cypriniformes, Cyprinidae. The transcript is spliced from 3 exons. The record is from RefSeq and is a predicted model, not a curated record.
AUUAAGAUGCUAUUAAAAUAUCAAAUUCAAUAUACAGUUUAUUAAUAUAAUGAACAUGUAUAUAGUGUUUUCCUCCCACACCGCAAAACGUGGCUAAUGUGGCAUAAUGAACUAAGAUGAUAAAGACCAAACUCAAUGCUCUUCAUUAUUAAAAUUUAGCCUACAUAACUA